This 258-nucleotide ribosomal RNA is filed under the name uncultured bacterium. RNAcentral's name for it is "partial 16S ribosomal RNA". It matches the Rfam family "Bacterial small subunit ribosomal RNA", at positions 57 to 305 of the family's 1533-position model. The record is from RNAcentral.
GCAAGUCGAGGGGCAGCAUUAUCGAAAGUUUGUUUUUGAUAGAUGGCGACCGGCGCACGGGUGAGUAACGCGUAUCAACCUAUCUUACAUUGGGGGCUAGCCCAGAGAAAUCUGGAUUAAUACUGCUUAAUAUUUUUGAAUCGCAUUGUUUAAAUAUUAAAACACCGUUGGUAUAAGAUGGGCAUGCGUAACAUUAGUUAGUAGGUGAGGUAACGGCUUACCAAGACAAUGAUAGGUAGGGGGUCUGAGAGGAUAGUC